UCAAGCUAAUAAGGGCUAAUGGUGGAUACCUAGGCACACAGAGGCGAAGAAGGACGUGGUGACCGACGAAAAGCUCCGGGGAGCUGGAAGCAAGCGUAAGAUCCGGAGAUGUCCGAAUGGGGGAACCCCAAGUACAGCCUGUUGAAUAUAUAGACAGGUAUGAGCCAACCCAGCGAAUUGAAACAUCUUAGUAGCUGGAGGAAAAGAAAUCAAUAGAGAUUCCCCAAGUAGUGGUGAGCGAAAGGGGAAGAGCCUAAACCAAUGAGUAAACUUGUUGGGGUUGUGGGACAGCGAUAUCGAAUCUAGCGGUUAGACGAAGCAGCGAAAAACUGCACCAAAGAAGGUGAGAGUCCUGUAGUCGAAAACUUAAGGAUAGUAGCUGUAUCCCGAGUAGCAUGGGACACGGGAAAUCCCAUGUGAAUCAGCGAGGACCACCUCGUAAGGCUAAAUACUACUGUGUGACCGAUAGUGAACCAGUACCGCGAGGGAAAGGUGAAAAGAACCCCAACGAGGGGAGUGAAAUAGAACAUGAAACCAUUAGCCUACAAGCAGUGGGAGGACGAUUAAACGUCUAACCGCGUGCCUGUUGAAGAAUGAGCCGGCGAGUUAUAAGCACUGGUAGGUUAAGGUGAAUGCCGAAGCCAAAGCGAAAGCGAGUCUGAAGUGGGCGAUGCAUCAGUGAUUAUAGACCCGAACCCGGGUGAUCUAACCAUGUCCAGGAUGAAGCUUGGGUAACACCAAGUGGAGGUCCGCACCGACCGAUGUUGAAAAAUCGGCGGAUGAGGUGUGGUUAGGGGUGAAAUGCCAAUCGAACCCGGAGCUAGCUGGUUCUCCCCGAAAUGUGUUGAGGCGCAGCGGUUGUGAUUCCAGUCUGGGGGUAAAGCACUGUUGAGGUGCGGGCGGCGAGAGCUGUACCAAAUCUCGACAAACUCUGAAUACCAGAUGAACACACAACCAGUGAGACGGUGGGGGAUAAGCUUCAUCGUCAAGAGGGAAACAGCCCAGACCACCAGCUAAGGUCCCAAAAUCAUCGCUAAGUGGCAAAGGAGGUGGGAGUGCAUAGACAACCAGGAGGUUUGCCUAGAAGCAGCCACCCUUGAAAGAGUGCGUAAUAGCUCACUGGUCAAGCGCUCCUGCGCCGAAAAUGAACGGGACUAAGCGAUGUACCGAAGCUGUGGGAUUACAUUGUAAUCGGUAGGGGAGCGUUCCGUAGUAGAGAGAAGCACUAGCGGCAAGCAGGUGUGGACGAAACGGAAGUGAGAAUGUCGGCUUGAGUAGCGCAAACAUUGGUGAGAAUCCAAUGCCCCGAAACCCCAAGGGUUCCAGAGCCAGGUUCGUCCACUCUGGGUGAGUCGGGACCUAAGGCGAGGCCGAAAGGCGUAGUCGAUGGACACAGGGUCAAAAAUCCCUGACUAUGAAGUGGGAGCAUUCAGAGUGCGCAUGAAGGUAGGCCACACCCUGACUGGAUUGGGAGACCUCUACGGAGGUCGCGUGGAGAGAAUAGUGCCAAGAAAAGCUGUGGAUGUGAUGAAAACUUCAUACCCGUACCGCAAACCGACACAGGUGGGGGGGUAGAGAAUACCAAGGGGCGCGAGAUAACUCUCUCUAAGGAACUCGGCAAAAUGGCCCCGUAACUUCGGAAGAAGGGGUACCCACGCAAGUGGGUCGCAGUGAAGAGGCCCAGGCGACUGUUUACCAAAAACACAGGUCUCCGCCAACUCGUAAGAGGAAGUAUGGGGGCUGACGCCUGCCCAGUGCCGGAAGGUUAAGGAAGUUGGUCAGGGGGAAACCCUGAAGCUGACGACCGAAGCCCCGGUGAACGGCGGCCGUAACUAUAACGGUCCUAAGGUAGCGAAAUUCCUUGUCGGGUAAGUUCCGACCCGCACGAAAGGCGUAACGAUCUGGGCACUGUCUCGGAGAGAGACUCGGCGAAAUAGGAAUGUCUGUGAAGAUACGGACUACCUGCACCUGGACAGAAAGACCCUAUGAAGCUUUACUGUAGCCUGGAAUUGGGUCCGGGCUUGGCUUGCGCAGGAUAGGUGGGAGGCAUUGAAACACUCCUUGUGGGGAGUGUGGAGCCAACGGUGAGA
This 2090-nucleotide ribosomal RNA is filed under the name Mastigocladopsis repens PCC 10914. RNAcentral's name for it is "bacterial LSU rRNA". It matches the Rfam family "Bacterial large subunit ribosomal RNA", at positions 3 to 2197 of the family's 2925-position model. Lineage: Bacteria; Bacillati; Cyanobacteriota; Cyanophyceae; Nostocales; Symphyonemataceae. The record is from RNAcentral.